UACGUAGGGUGCAAGCGUUGUUCGGAAUUACUGGGCGUAAAGGGCUCGUAGGUGGCCAACUAAGUCAGACGUGAAAUCCCUCGGCUUAACCGGGGAACUGCGUCUGAUACUGGAUGGCUUGAGUUUGGGAGAGGGAUGCGGAAUUCCAGGUGUAGCGGUGAAAUGCGUAGAUAUCUGGAGGAACACCGGUGGCGAAGGCGGCAUCCUGGACCAACACUGACACUGAGGAGCGAAAGCCAGGGGAGCAAACGGG
RNAcentral lists this ribosomal RNA (253 nucleotides) under uncultured bacterium. Its description in RNAcentral is "partial 16S ribosomal RNA". It matches the Rfam family "Bacterial small subunit ribosomal RNA", at positions 524 to 776 of the family's 1533-position model. The record is from RNAcentral.